This 29-nucleotide non-coding RNA is filed under the name Rattus norvegicus (Norway rat). The record is from RNAcentral. Lineage: Eukaryota; Metazoa; Chordata; Mammalia; Rodentia; Muridae.
UCUCAUAUGUGUAGAAAUGCAGCCAGAAU